Molecule: ribosomal RNA, 602 nt
Filed under: Vishniacozyma carnescens
Lineage: Eukaryota; Fungi; Basidiomycota; Tremellomycetes; Tremellales; Bulleribasidiaceae
Description: partial large subunit ribosomal RNA
Rfam family: Eukaryotic large subunit ribosomal RNA
Source: RNAcentral
GAAAAGAAACUAACUAGGAUUCCCUUAGUAACGGCGAGUGAACCGGGAUGAGCUCAAAUUUGAAAUCUGGCGUCUUUCAGGCGUCCGAGUUGUAAUCUAUAGAGGCGUUUUCCGCGCCGGACCGCGUCCAAGUCUCUUGGAAUAGAGUAUCAAAGAGGGUGACAAUCCCGUACUUGACGCGACAACCGGUGCUCUGUGAUACGUUCUCAAUGAGUCGAGUUGUUUGGGAAUGCAGCUCUAAAUGGGUGGUAAAUUCCAUCUAAGGCUAAAUAUUGGCGAGAGACCGAUAGCGAACAAGUACCGUGAGGGAAAGAUGAAAAGCACUUUGGAAAGAGAGUUAAACAGCACGUGAAAUUGUUAAAAGGGAAACGAUUGAAGUCAGUCGUGUGGGAAGUAUUCAGCCGUCUCUGGCGGUGUAUUUGCUUCUCACGGGUCAACAUCAGUUUGAUCCGGUAGAAAAAGGCGGGAAGAAGGUGGCACCCUCGGGUGUGUUAUAGCUUCCUGUCAUAUGUGCCGGACCAGACUGAGGAACGCAGCUUGCAGCAAUGCCGGGGUUCGCCCACGUACAAGCUUAGGAUGUUGACAUAAUGGCUUUAAACGAC